Long non-coding RNA from Perca fluviatilis (European perch), 2182 nucleotides. RefSeq lists it as uncharacterized. The transcript is spliced from 3 exons. The record is from RefSeq and is a predicted model, not a curated record. Lineage: Eukaryota; Metazoa; Chordata; Actinopteri; Perciformes; Percidae.
AGCGGUCUCCCAGAAAAACUUCCCUGCGCCGACUGCAGCAGACGCGGAGGACUUGAUUGGGCAAGGGCUGAAGUUUGCCCCACACAGACGGUCAGCUGAGAAGGACUGAGCCUUCAAAACCAUGGAGCUCUAUUUUUUUUUUUUUGCGGAAGCAAGAGCUGUUGGCCAUCUUCUACACUGCUGCCAUCCUCCUGCCUUCUCCCCUCUGGCUGGCGCUACAGAUCCCUGCACACAAAAAAACGUUCCAUAAAGUUUUGGAAGUGAAAACUCUGGGGAGGCACUAGCAAAAAUUGCCACAGAAGGUGAAGAUGAGCGGCAGAGGAGAGACUAAAAACAGCUGCUUGAAGAGACUGCGAUCCCAAUGGCAAGCUGUUUUGAUUGGGAUUUUGAUGUUGCUUUUUUGUGGAGUGACCAGUGUCAGAUAACUCAGAUAAAUAACCAGCAAAGUCUGGUAGAAGAUUUACAGCAUAUGGAAAAGAACACCAAAUUGCAAAUAGAAAACAAUCAGCUGAAGCUACUUCUGAGCUCCACUCAACUCCAGUAUGACCAACUGAAGCUGCUCAUAAAUGCAACAUGGUACAACUUCACCUUGUCUGCUAAAAAUAAACAGUUGAGCCUGCUUUUGAAGAACACUUUGCAAGAAAAAAGUCAGUUGCAAGUGGAGAACCAAGUGUUAAAGCAACUUCUUAACUCCACCUGUCAAAACUCAACACUUCUGGGAAAUGAGUAUGCAACACCAUACAACUUCACCUUGUUGUUUGCUGAAAAUACACAGCUGAGCCUGCUGUUGAAGAACACAUUACAAGGAAAUACACAGUUGAGCCUGCUGUUGAUGAACACAUUGCAAGAAAAAACUCAGUUGCAAGUGGAGAACCAAGUGUUACUUCUUAACUCCACCUGUCAAAACUCAACACUUCUGGGAAAUGAGUAUGACCAGCUGAAGCUGAUCAUAAAUGCAACACCAUACAACUUCACCUUGUUGUCUGCUGAAAAUACACAGCUGAGCCUGCUGUUGACGAACACGUUACAAGAAAAAAACAGUUUUAAGUGGAGAACAAAGAGCUGAACCUGCAUGGUUCUAAAGUCAACCCUGGAGGAGAACGGACAACUGAGUCUGCUCUCGAGCAAAAUAUCGCAAGAAAAAACCCAGUUGCAAGUGGAGAAAGAAGAGCUAAAGCAACUCCUGAAAUCCACCUAUCAAAACUUCACACUUCUGGGAAGUGAGUAUGGCCAACUGAAGCUGCUCAUAAAUGCAACACGGUACAACUUCACCUUGUUGUUUGCAGAAAAAACACAGCUGAGCCUGCUGUUGAAGAACACGUUGCAAGAAAAAACCCAGUUGCAAGUGGAGAAAAUGAGCUGAACCUGGUUAAAGUCAACCCUGGAGGAGAACGGACAACUGAAGCUGAGACUGAGUGAAUCAUUGGACAUCAUCACCCUGGCAUCUGCAGAAAGCAAUCAGUUGCGCCUGCUGUUAAACAAUGAACAAGAAACCUCCUUGCAGCUGCAGGAAAAAAAUAAACUCCAGCAUUCACUCCUUUAUUCCAACAAACUGUCCAACAUCUGGAAAUACUGUGAAAACGACACACUGCAGUGUUCACACUGCAUGUCUGGCUGGACCGAACACGGUUCACGUUGCUUCUUGCUAUCAAAAGAAAUUAAGAAGUGGGAAUUUGGUCGCAGUGAUUGUCUUGACAUGGGGGGUGACCUGGCUAUUGUUUUGAAUGCCGAAGACCAGACAUUCUUGACCAACAUGACUCUUCAAUAUGUAAUGGAGAACCCUACAGUAGAUUUCCAUUCAGCGUGGAUUGAGUUGCAGGACAUGGUGAAAGAGGGCGACUACAUCUGGAUCACUGGCGAGAGAAUUCAGAAAACUGUAAGUUAGUGGCUGCCCGGGCAGCCAAACAACGCCAUAGCAACCUGGGACAAAGAACAGGCAGGCCAGGACUGUAUUGCCAUUAUCCCACCGAAAGUCAUUGGAAAGGGUUCGUUGAGAUCCUGGGAUGACAUUGUUUGUGGUGGCGAACGGCACUACAUAUGUGAGACCAUGGCUUUAAUUUUGUCCUGACAGAUGAUGAAGCUGCAUGUUGUAGAUGUAUGGUCGUUAAGACGUGGAGGAAAAGCCACAUUUACUUGGGCGCCCAAAGAUGUUUCCUUUGUUUGUAUAUUAAUAAUUUCUGUA